This 3000-nucleotide long non-coding RNA is filed under the name Homo sapiens (human). Its description in RNAcentral is "PCBP1 antisense RNA 1, transcript variant 33 (PCBP1-AS1)". Lineage: Eukaryota; Metazoa; Chordata; Mammalia; Primates; Hominidae. The record is from RNAcentral.
AGGUCACAAGAUUGCGCCAACCCUUACAUGGUCCUUAAAAAAAAAACCUUCUGACACUGCAGUAGUGAAAAUGAAGCGCACGAUGGGCGGAAGCUGUGAGUCCGGCAAAGUUUUAAAAUGAUGACGUAUUUUAUUAACUCUAACGGCACUGGCGGGUGACUGAAAAUACUAGUGCUGUGUAUGCGGGAUAGACAUUAUUUUCCUGCCCUACAUGAGGGGCUCGUGCGCGGAACGACAUGGGCAGCCCCGGCGGAAACUGCAGGCACAAGCCGGGACGCCGCGGGUUUAAAACAUGCGCGUGAGAGGAAGACAAACAUAAAGAUGAAGUGCUUAAUUCAAGGUCACACAAUGUCGGGGAUGGACCUCCAGAUUUCCUUACUGGUGAGACGUGGUCUUGUAACACAGUGGUUAAGAAUGUGACUUUGGAGCCAGCCUGCUAGGGGCUGAAUUCUGACUCAGCCAUUUACUAACUGUGUGACCUUAGGUAAGUCAUUUACCUUCUUUGUCCCUCAGUUUCAUCUCGGUUAAGUAGGGAUAAUGAUAGCACCUAUUUUAUAGGGUUAUUGUGAGGAAUAAAUCCAAGUAAAAUGCUUAGAAUAGUAACUGAAACAUAGCACUCAUUAGGAAUGCUUUAAUUUUCAUUUAUUUGAGUAUUAAAGGUUGAAUUUUCAGAGGUAUUUUGGACCUUUGUAUUUUUUCUUUAAAUCACUUAUUCAUGACUUUUGAACUUUUUUUUUUCUUUUAGAGACAGGGUCUUGGUUUGUUGUCUAGGCUGGAAUGCAGUGGUGCAAUCAUAGCUCACUGUAGCCUUGAACUCUUGGGCUCAAGAGAUCCUCCUGCCUCAGCCUCGUGAGUAGCUGGGCCUACAGGCGCCUGCUACCACACCUGGCUAAUUUUUUAUUUUUUGUAGAGAUGGGUUCUUGCAGCCCAGACUGGUCUUGAGCUUUGGCCUGAAGUGCUCCUCCUGCCUUGGCCUCUCAAAGCAUUGGGGUUACAGGUGUGAAGCACUGCACCUUGCCUACACAUUUUUUCCAAUAAUUUUUUUUAUUAAUUUGUAAGAGUUAACAUGUCGACUAUCAUAUAUAACAUAGAAUUGUUCCCAUUUUGUCAUUUCCUUUCAACUUUGUCUAUGUAGCUUUUUUUCUGUGUGCAAAUUUUACAUUUUUAGGUAGUCAGAAAAUCUCUUCCCUUGUAAUUUUUUCUGCUACUAGACCAAUGUUUAGAAAAAAGCGUGCUUCCCCACCUCAAAAUUAUAAAAAUAGUUACUUGUUCUUUUUGAGUACUGUGUGUGUUUAAAUCUUUAAUCUUUAAAUUUAAAUCUUUGAUCCAUCUGGUAUUUAUUUUGAUAUGAAGAGAGUGGUUGGGAUCUGGCUGUAUUUCUUUUUUCUUUUUUUUUCUUUUUUCUUUUUUUGACGAAGUCUCACUGUUGCUCAGGCUGGAGUGCAAUGGCAUGAUCUCGGCUCAUCACAACCUCUGCUUCCUGGGUUCAAGCGAUUCUCCUGCCUCAGCCUCCCGAGUACCUGGGACUACAGGCACUCGCCACCAUGCCCGGCUGAUUUUUGUAUUUUUAAUAGAGAUGGUUUCACUAUGUUGGCCAGGCUGGUCUCGAACUCCUGACCUUGUGAUCUGCCCACCUCAGCCUCGAAAAGUGCUGGGAUUACAGGCGUGAGCCACUGCGCCCAGCCUUGUAUUUUUUUUCAGUUUGGGUAGCUGUCCCUAAUUCAUUUGUUAAAGGAGAAGCAAGAGCAAGAACCUUUAAUCUGUUCUCCUCUUCCCUAAUUUGAAAGUAGCUUGUUAUUUUGAAUAUCACUUUCUCUGAAAUAGCACAUCUCCAUCUCAGAGAAUGGAUUUAAUGUUUGGAUACAGCCAAAAGUCAUUUCAUUACCAAACCAUGGGGUGAAUAUACCAUGUAAAGCAGUUUGGGAUCAGAACUCACAGUCUGAAUUGUAAGUGAUGAGACUGCUGUCUCUCUGCUACAGCUUCUUGGCUGGCUCUGAAGGCUCUUUGAAGGCAGAUCCUAACAAGGGGACUGCUUUGAAGGGCCAUUGUUCAUUUGGAAUGAUAAAGUCUAUGUUGUUCAAAAAACAAAUGCUUGUAGCAGGUAUUUUUUCACUCCAGACUGAGAAUAUUGGUGGGAUAUUGAUAAGGGGUACUGAAUGGUAAUAAACAUGUGCUCUAGCUCUGUGCUAGUCAGCUUAUUUCAGAACUCUAGUUUGAUUCAGUUUCUUGCCUCUGACUCAAAAUGGAGGGAGAGUGAUUUUUACAUAAGAGAACACACCCACAUAUCCUUUUGGCAGCAGCUACCUGCCAGAGAUGUUGAAGAAGAGUAGCCAACCUUUACACAGCAGAUAUUGUGUGCCAGUCAUAGUCCUAAGUAUAAUACCUUACAUGUAUAAACUUCUUAUAAGGUUGGUGCUCUGUACCGAAUUGAAUAGUAUCCCCCAAAAUUCAUGUUGUCCCAGAACCUAUGAAAGUGAUCUUACUUGAGGGAGGGGGGAGGGGGGAGGGAUAGCAUUAGGAGAUAUACCUAAUGCUAAAUGACGAGUUAAUGGGUGUAGCACACCAGCAUGGCACAUGUAUACAUAUGUAACUAACCUGCACAUUGUGCACAUGUACCCUAAAACUUAAAGUAUAAUAAUAAUAAAAUAAAAAAAAAAAAGAAAGUGAUCUUACUUGGAAAUAAGGUCUUUGCACAUAUGAUCAAGUUGAGAUGAAGUUGUACUGGAAAGUCUGUCUAGUGACUGGUGUUGUCAUAAGAAGAGAGGGACACAGAGGGAAGAUGGCCACAUGAAGAUGGAGGCAGAGAUUGCAGUUAUGCUGCUGCAAACUAAGGAAUGGCUCUGGCCCUCCAAGGAUUGCUGAUAACCACCAGAAACUAGAAGAGACAAGGAAGGAUUCUUCCCUAGAGCCUUCAGAGGGAGCAUGGCCCUACUGACACCUGGAUUUCAAACUUGUAGCUUCCUAAACUGCAAGAGAAUAAAUUUCUGUUGUUUUAAGCCA